Non-coding RNA from Pimephales promelas (fathead minnow), 1716 nucleotides. NCBI's taxonomy places the organism in Eukaryota, Metazoa, Chordata, Actinopteri, Cypriniformes, Leuciscidae. The record is from the annotation of a RefSeq genome assembly.
GCUUUGACAUCCUUGACAUAAACCAUGAGAAACUAUUCCACAACAUGAACAAUGCCAAAAUCAAAAUAAACCACCUUUAUUAUAUUGAAUCAUUUGACAGAUGCUUGAGGAGAAUAUAGCAAAUAUGCUUGCAGAUAAAAACAACAGCACAGAGAGGAUGAUAGUUAUUAAAUGUAGUGGAAUCACCACGUGCUCAUCUUCUCAGUGUUACAAUAAGAGAUGCAGUAAAACUUCUAAUUUCAAGGGAAUUCAUGAACAAAAUGCAAUUCAAUGCAGAGUUUAAAAACAUUAAACAAUAACAUAUGGGCCACUGAUAUGCUGUAAUGUCAGCAGUGCAGUCAGUUUCAAAGGCUUUGAUUGUGUUUCAAGAAAAAGACAAAGAAGUAUAUGGAAAUAGAUGAGAAUAAUAAUAAACGUAGCAAUUCCAAUAUGGUGCUCUCACCAUCGGUGCUCGGGCCCUAGUUAUGUCCCCCCUGCGAGGUGUGUAGUGCCUUCUAGACUAUCAAUAGGCAGAAAUGUUCAUUGUGUGUGUCGCAAAUUUACUUUAGGAUAUGAACAUAAUGCAAGUCCAAGGACUUUGAAUAGAAAUCUCAUGUUAGUUGGAAUUCAUUUUAGUUGCAGACUAAUAGGGUGCUCCAAACAUUCACUCUCAUAAAAAAAAUGCAAACAUUUUACUUUAAAUGGUACAACAGCUUGUCACUGGAGUACUUUUAAAAGGACAACUUUGUAGAUUCAGAGUAAUACCUUAAGGUACCUAUAUUGCUACUCUAAGGUACAAACAUGCACCUUUAGGGGUAAAAAAGGUACAAAUAUGUCUUUUAAUGGUACUACCCCAGUGACCCCUAAAGGUCUUCUGAGAGAGCUCAAAAGUGGUGGAAAAGUCCAUUAAUGAAAUACUGAAAUCCUUGAAAAGGAACAAACUUUUUCUUGGGUUAAGCUCAGUAUGGGGCAUUUCACAUCUGUAACCCAGAUUAGUUAUUAGCAUUGUAACUUCCUGUUUGUUGCUCAACUCCUAUGUUUCACAGAGUAAGGAGAGAAUCAGACUGUCUCUGCUACCAUGAAUGCUCUUUUGAUGCUUUCCUUUUUCCUGCUUUUUCAGUUCAUAUGCAGAGUGGGAGCCGGUGAUCUGCAACAGAAAAUCUCACUGACCAAAGCAGAGGAAAAGUUAGCCAUUAUCGACUGUCACUACACUUCAUCAGACUGCAGGUACUACAUCCACUGGUAUCAGCAGAAAGAAGGAGAACCCUUGAAGAGGAUCCUUUAUGUUGACAUAGAUGAUGGAUCCGCACAAAAUGAUGCAGGUUUUGAGUCCAUAAAAUCAGAAAAGAAAACAUCGAAUCAUUUUGCUUUGAAAAUCACCAAGCUGAAAAAAGAGCAUUCAGCGAUGUAUUACUGUGCUUGCUGGAUCUGGAGCGGGAGUGGCACAGUACACAUAAAUACUAAAGUCUUGCACAAAAACUCUGCAAGGUUUCCUGUCAUAAUCAGAGACCACAAACCUUUCUUGAAAUAACAUAACAUUAAGACCAUGGGUUUAAUUCCCAAGGAAUUGGGAAUAAAAUGUACUAAUAAAUAAAUGUACUCAACUAAUAAAAUGUAUGUCUUGAUGCAAUUUAAGUUGUGUCAGCCAAAUUCAUAAAUAGAAAUGUUUCUAUUAUAUGUGUAGAAUGUUUCAUUUUAUUUAUUUCCUUAGCAGAAAUAAAGUAAACAGAUUUAGUU